RNAcentral lists this ribosomal RNA (366 nucleotides) under Campylobacter gracilis. RNAcentral describes it as "bacterial SSU rRNA". It matches the Rfam family "Bacterial small subunit ribosomal RNA", at positions 100 to 486 of the family's 1533-position model. The record is from RNAcentral. Lineage: Bacteria; Pseudomonadati; Campylobacterota; Epsilonproteobacteria; Campylobacterales; Campylobacteraceae.
GCACGGGUGAGUAAUAUAUAGCUAAUCUGCCCCUUGCUGGAGGACAACAGUUAGAAAUGACUGCUAAUACUCCAUACUCCUUUUUACCAUAAGAUAAAUCGGGAAAGAAUUUCGGCAAGGGAUGAGACUAUAUCGUAUCAGCUAGUCGGUGGGGUAACGGCCUACCGAGGCUAUGACGCGUAACUGGUCUGAGAGGAUGAUCAGUCACAUUGGAACUGAGACACGGUCCAAACUCCUACGGGAGGCAGCAGUAGGGAAUAUUGCGCAAUGGGGGAAACCCUGACGCAGCAACGCCGCGUGGAGGAUGACACUUUUCGGAGCGUAAACUCCUUUUGUUAGGGAAGGAUAAUGACGGUACCUAACGAA